This 449-nucleotide ribosomal RNA is filed under the name uncultured bacterium. Its description in RNAcentral is "partial 16S ribosomal RNA". It matches the Rfam family "Bacterial small subunit ribosomal RNA", at positions 338 to 795 of the family's 1533-position model. The record is from RNAcentral.
CCUACGGGGGGCAGCAGUGGGGAAUUUUGGACAAUGGGCGCAAGCCUGAUCCAGCAAUGCCGCGUGCAGGAUGAAGGCCUUCGGGUUGUAAACUGCUUUUGUACGGAACGAAACAGCUCUUUCUAAUACAGAGGGCGAAUGACGGUACCGUAAGAAUAAGCACCGGCUAACUACGUGCCAGCAGCCGCGGUAAUACGUAGGGUGCGAGCGUUAGUCGGACUUGCUGGGCGUAAAGCGUGCGCAGGCGGUGAAAUCCCCGGGCUCAACCUGGGACCUGCAUGUGUGACUGCAUCGCUGGAGUACGGCAGAGGGGGAUGGAAUUCCGCGUGUAGCAGUGAAAUGCGUAGAUAUGCGGAGGAACACCGAUGGCGAAGGCAAUCCCCUGGGCCUGUACUGACGCUCAUGCACGAAAGCGUGGGGAGCAAACAGGAUUAGAUACCCGAGUAGUC